Molecule: long non-coding RNA, 338 nt
Filed under: Gossypium barbadense (sea-island cotton)
Lineage: Eukaryota; Viridiplantae; Streptophyta; Magnoliopsida; Malvales; Malvaceae
Description: long non-coding RNA (GBAR_LNC008098)
Source: RNAcentral
AAAAAUUUCUUCAAAAGAUCAAUAACCAUAGAAAUAUUUCUGGGAACGGAUAAACACAUAGAACAUCUUAGAAGAAACUACUAAAAUCUGUCUAGCCGUAACUGUCACACUCAGAUAUUACACAUUUUAGAUAUCAUUUCCCCAACUAUUUCUGCCAUCACAAAUUUCAUAUUUCUUUUCACUAAAGAAGACUAGUUCUAAAUAAAUUUUGAUUUGCACUUUUCUCGACCUUGUACCUUAGUAAUUCGAUUUAUCAAAAUAAAUUUCUUCUCUAAUUGGAACAGUGCAUAACUCCAAUAAUCCUUAUGUCAAUCUGAUACUUUUCUAGCUUUGACUUU